RNAcentral lists this ribosomal RNA (458 nucleotides) under uncultured bacterium. RNAcentral describes it as "partial 16S ribosomal RNA". It matches the Rfam family "Bacterial small subunit ribosomal RNA", at positions 338 to 795 of the family's 1533-position model. The record is from RNAcentral.
CCUACGGGGGGCAGCAGUGAGGAAUAUUGGUCAAUGGGCGAGAGCCUGAACCAGCCAAGUCGCGUGAGGGAGUACUGCCCUAUGGGUUGUAAACCUCUUUUGUCGGGGAGCAAAAGCCGGACGUGUCCGGCUGUGAGAGUACCCGAAGAAAAAGCAUCGGCUAACUCCGUGCCAGCAGCCGCGGUAAUACGGAGGAUGCGAGCGUUAUCCGGAUUUAUUGGGUUAAAGGGGUGCGCAGGCGGAUUUUUAAGUCUGCGGUAAAAUCGUGGGGCUCAACCCCAUCCAGCCGUUGAAACUGGGGAUCUAGAGUGUGCGAGAGGUAUGCGGAAUGCGUGGUGUAGCGGUGAAAUGCAUAGAGAUCACGCAGAACCCCGAUUGCGAAGGCAGCAUACCGGUGCACAACUGACGCUCAGGCACGAAAGCGUGGGUAUCGAACAGGGUUAGAUACCCGGGUAGUC